Molecule: ribosomal RNA, 442 nt
Filed under: uncultured bacterium
Lineage: Bacteria
Description: partial 16S ribosomal RNA
Rfam family: Bacterial small subunit ribosomal RNA
Source: RNAcentral
CCUACGGGGGGCAGCAGUGGGGAAUAUUGGGCAAUGGGCGCAAGCCUGACCCAGCAACGCCGCGUGAAUGAAGAAGGCUUUCGGGUUGUAAACUUCUUUUCUCAGGGACGAAGAAGGUGACGGUACCUGAGGAAUAAGCCACGGCUAACUACGUGCCAGCAGCCGCGGUAAUACGUAGGUGGCAAGCGUUAUCCGUAUUUACGGGGGGUAAAGGGCGUGUAGGCGGGAAAGCAAGUCAGAGGUGAAAACCAGGGGCUCAACCUGUGGCCUGCAUUUGAAACUGUUUUUCUUGGGUACUGGAAGGGUAGGCGGAUUUCCUAGUGUAGCGGUGAAAGGGGUAGAUAUUAGGAGGAACACCGGUGGCGAAGGCGGUCUGUGGGACGGCAACGGAGGCUGAGGCGCGAAAGCGUGGGGAGCAAACAGGAUUAGAUACCCGGUAGUC